GACGAACGCUGGCGGCGUGCUUAACACAUGCAAGUCGAACGGAAAGGCCUGCUUUCCCUUGUGGAUUGCGGGUACUCGAGUGGCGAACGGGUGAGUAACACGUGAGUGAUCUGCCCCCAACUUGGGUAUAAGCCUGGGAAACUGGGUCUAAUUCCCGAUAGGACUGCAGGGUGGUGCCUGUGGUGGAAAACGAUUUUCUAGUGGUUGGGGAUGAGCUCGCGGCCUAUCAGCUUGUUGGUGGGGUAAUGGCCUACCAAGGCGGCGACGGGUAGCCGGCCUGGGAGGGCGGACGGCCCCAUUGGGGCUGAGAUCCGGCCCAGACUCCUACGGGAGGCAGCAGUGGGGAAUAUUGCACAAUGGGCGGAAGCCUGAUGCAGCGACGCCGCGUGGGGGAUGACGGCCUUCGGGUUGUAAACUCCUUUCGACCGCGAGGAAGCCACCUGGUUGGAAGGGUGGUGACGGUAGUGGUAGAAGAAGCACCGGCUAACUACGUG
Molecule: ribosomal RNA, 494 nt
Filed under: uncultured bacterium
Lineage: Bacteria
Description: partial 16S ribosomal RNA
Rfam family: Bacterial small subunit ribosomal RNA
Source: RNAcentral